This 443-nucleotide ribosomal RNA is filed under the name uncultured bacterium. Its description in RNAcentral is "bacterial SSU rRNA". It matches the Rfam family "Bacterial small subunit ribosomal RNA", at positions 338 to 795 of the family's 1533-position model. The record is from RNAcentral.
CCUACGGGAGGCUGCAGUCGAGAAUAUUCCGCAAUGGGCGAAAGCCUGACGGAGCGACAUCGCGUGAUGGAUGAAGUGGUUCGCCACGUAAACAUCUUUUAUGAGGGAAGAAAUUAUUGACGGUACCUCAUGAAUAAGGGGCUCCUAACUCUGUGCCAGCAGGAGCGGUAAUACAGAGGCCCCAAGCAUUAUCCGGAAUCAUUGGGCGUAAAGCGUGUCAAGGCGGUUAUGUUAGUCGUUCGUAAAAUCUACGAGCUCAACUUGUAGGUGGCGAGCGAAACGGCAUGACUAGAGGUCAGGAGAGGUACAUGGAACUCAUGGUGUAGGGGUGAAAUCCGUUGAUAUCAUGGGGAACACCAAAGGCGAAGGCAGUGUACUGGCCUGAAUCUGACGCUCACACACGAAAGCCAGGGUAGCGAACGGGAUUAGAUACCCUAGUAGUC